GCAAGUCGAACGGUAGCACAGAGGAGCUUGCUCCUUGGGUGACGAGUGGCGGACGGGUGAGUAAUGUCUGGGAAACUGCCCGAUGGAGGGGGAUAACUACUGGAAACGGUAGCUAAUACCGCAUAACGUCGCAAGACCAAAGAGGGGGACCUUCGGGCCUCUUGCCAUCGGAUGUGCCCAGAUGGGAUUAGCUAGUAGGUGGGGUAACGGCUCACCUAGGCGACGAUCCCUAGCUGGUCUGAGAGGAUGACCAGCCACACUGGAACUGAGACACGGUCCAGACUCCUACGGGAGGCAGCAGUGGGGAAUAUUGCACAAUGGGCGCAAGCGUGAUGCAGCCAUGCCGGUAUGAGAAGGCCUUCGGGUUGUAAAGUACUUUCAGCGAGGAGGAAGGCAUUAAGGUUAAUAACCUUAAUGAUUGACGUUACUCGCAGAAGAAGCACCGGCUAACUCCGUGCCAGCAGCCGCGGUAAUACGGAGGGUGCAAGCGUUAAUCGGAAUUACUGGGCGUAAAGCGCACGCAGGCGGUCUGUCAAGUCGGAUGUGAAAUCCCCGGGCUCAACCUGGGAACUGCAUCCGAAACUGGCAGGCUAGAG
Molecule: ribosomal RNA, 596 nt
Filed under: Citrobacter europaeus
Lineage: Bacteria; Pseudomonadati; Pseudomonadota; Gammaproteobacteria; Enterobacterales; Enterobacteriaceae
Description: bacterial SSU rRNA
Rfam family: Bacterial small subunit ribosomal RNA
Source: RNAcentral